GCAAGUCGAGCGGUAGAAUUUUAGCUUGCUAAAAUUUGAGAGCGGCGAACGGGUGAGUAACACGUUGGUAUCUGCCCCCAAGUCAGGGAUAGCCAUUGGAAACGAUGAUUAAUACCGGAUAGUCUCUUCGGAGUAAAGAUUUAUUGCUUGGGGAGGAACCUGCGGUCUAUCAGCUAGUUGGUGAGAUAAAAGCUCACCAAGGCUAUGACGGAUACCUGGUCUGAGAGGAUGAUC
RNAcentral lists this ribosomal RNA (234 nucleotides) under uncultured bacterium. RNAcentral describes it as "partial 16S ribosomal RNA". It matches the Rfam family "Bacterial small subunit ribosomal RNA", at positions 57 to 305 of the family's 1533-position model. The record is from RNAcentral.